This is a long non-coding RNA of Gossypium raimondii (Peruvian cotton), 593 nucleotides long. RefSeq lists it as uncharacterized. NCBI's taxonomy places the organism in Eukaryota, Viridiplantae, Streptophyta, Magnoliopsida, Malvales, Malvaceae. The record is from RefSeq and is a predicted model, not a curated record. The transcript has 2 exons.
GACCGUAGAAACAAAAAGCGCGGAUCGGAGAUUGAAUCGGGUCGGGUAAUCGGGUCAUUGGCCCUUAAACGGCGUCGUUUUGGAGCCAUUGAAGCAGGCCCUAGACGGCGUCGUUUCUUUCGCUAUACAAAACCUAUUUUGAAACCCUAAGUUAGCAGAAUCAACAAAAUCAAACGCCUCUGCCUCAAAACCAUGCUCUCAAACUGGCCGUUCUAAGAUCCUUCACUCGAUCUCCGAUUGCAAUGGAGUAAGCAAGGAAUCGAUCGCCAAGAGCCAGCUGGAGAUGGAGGCGCACAUGUGGUGGUGGCGCAGCAUGCGCGGAGGAAACGAUUGGUGGCUUCGGCGCGACGCAUGGGAACCUGGUUGCUGCACGGAAAGGUUUCUGGAGGCUUCAGAAGAAUGGGCAACUUCGAAUUGGGCCACUGUAAUUGGGUUUCGGGUUUAAUUGGACUGCUUGGGCUUCUGCUUAUUGUAAUCGGGUUUGGGGUUGAGUUGAUGUAUUUUGGGUUUGGGUUUUAGAUUUAGGCCUGCUGUUUGUAAUAAAAACUGGACAUUUUGUUUUUAUUCUAUUUAGUUUUUAUAUUUCAUUUUAA